CACCGCGGUUAGACGAGAGGCCCUAGUUGAUGGUACAACGGCGUAAAGGGUGGUUAAGGAUAAUGAAAAAAUAAAGUCGAAUGGCCCUUUGGCUGUCAUACGCUUCUAGGAGUCUGAAGCCCACAUACGAAAGUGACUUUAGCAAAGCCCACCUGACCCCACGAAAGCUGAGACA
RNAcentral lists this ribosomal RNA (175 nucleotides) under Cyprinella analostana (satinfin shiner). RNAcentral describes it as "partial small subunit ribosomal RNA". Lineage: Eukaryota; Metazoa; Chordata; Actinopteri; Cypriniformes; Leuciscidae. The record is from RNAcentral.